UUCGAUUUCGUUGUUUCUUCAGUAAGAUCGAAGAGAAAGAUGACGAAAACGAGGUUAGAUACUAGGGCAGAUGAAGAGCUCGGCCGAGAAGACAAGGGCAUAUGAAGAACCCUAAAUCGCCAUGGGAGAAGACAAGGUUAAAAAAGAAUUAGGGUAUGAUGCCUUUUACUCGUGUCCCUCUUUUUAGUCUUUUUUUUCUUUUGUUUUUAAUUUUUAACUAUUUUAACUAUUAAAUCUAUUACGAAAAUUAUAAUUUAUAAUUAUAAUUCAACUUAAUUGAUUAGUUUUAAGGACAUUAUGGUAUUUUACAGAAAUUAAAAUCCUAUUUUCCUAAAAAAUCUUAUAGAAGUCCUAAAAUGACAAAUCAAAGAUGAGAGUGUCCUUUUUUUCUAAUAUUCCUUCAUAUUAACUUGAUUCAAAUAUUAAACUAACUCUUUUUUCUUUACUUUUUAAUGGUCAAUUUUUUUUGGGGUCAACGUUAAUAAUAGGGAAAUAUAUGAUACGAUAGCACUAAAAAUUUAUGUCACAAAUAUAGACUCUAAGGAUCAAAAUGACCAAAAUGUUUCAUUAAA
This 572-nucleotide long non-coding RNA is filed under the name Brassica rapa (field mustard). Its description in RNAcentral is "long non-coding RNA (BRAP_LNC003527)". The record is from RNAcentral. Lineage: Eukaryota; Viridiplantae; Streptophyta; Magnoliopsida; Brassicales; Brassicaceae.